GAGCCGCUAGCUCAGCUGGCAGAGCACCGGCCUUUUAAGCCGAGGGUCCUGGGUUCGAUUCCCAGGCGGCUCACCU
Molecule: transfer RNA, 76 nt
Filed under: Deltaproteobacteria bacterium
Lineage: Bacteria; Pseudomonadati; Myxococcota; Myxococcia
Description: tRNA-Lys
Rfam family: tRNA
About the family: Transfer RNA (tRNA) molecules are approximately 80 nucleotides in length. Their secondary structure includes four short double-helical elements and three loops (D, anti-codon, and T loops).
Source: RNAcentral